GGCCAAAUAGGCAUGUUGUUUGUGUGAUCAUUCUCUAUUGUAUUAAUGUGAAUUUUUUUCAUUGUAGUGCAUUUUUCGCAUGAUAUAUUUCUUUUCUAUGUUGAAUUUAUUUAAUUAAGUUUUGUAAGUUUCUGUGUCCCUUUCACCACAUACUCCUUGGAAAAGAAAAAGAAAAAUAGGGACCAACCUAUAACAUAGAGAAGAAAUAAAAAAAGGAAAUUAGAAAUGAACAUAACCAAAAACUAAAUUAAUGAAAUAAAAUAGUAAAUGUUUUUUUUAACUUAUAUAGAAACUCUAAAAUCAUGAUGUAGGAGUACCUCUGUGUUUUUGUGAUUUUCUCCUUUUACUCUUUAAUCGUCUCUUUGGUUACAAAUCUGCACUAUAAAAAAAUAUACAAUUCUUUGCAAUCGGCAUUGGUCGUAUGUCACAAAUUUUGAUUUGAAACCAACUCGUAUAAAAUAUGUAAAAUCUG
Molecule: long non-coding RNA, 472 nt
Filed under: Trifolium pratense (red clover)
Lineage: Eukaryota; Viridiplantae; Streptophyta; Magnoliopsida; Fabales; Fabaceae
Description: long non-coding RNA (TPRA_LNC006200)
Source: RNAcentral